Molecule: ribosomal RNA, 217 nt
Filed under: uncultured bacterium
Lineage: Bacteria
Description: partial 16S ribosomal RNA
Rfam family: Bacterial small subunit ribosomal RNA
Source: RNAcentral
UACGUAGGGUGCGAGCGUUAAUCGGAAUUACUGGGCGUAAAGCGUGCGCAGGCGGUAAGUUAAGUCUGAUGUGAAGCCCCGGGCUCAACCUGGGAAUGGCAUUGGAACUGGCUUGCUGGAGUGUCGGCUAGAGGGGGUGGAAUUUCCGCGGUGUAGCAGGUGGAAAUGCGUAGAGAUGCGGAGGAACGCCGAUGGCGAAGGCAGCCCCUGGGGCCAA